Molecule: ribosomal RNA, 474 nt
Filed under: uncultured bacterium
Lineage: Bacteria
Description: bacterial SSU rRNA
Rfam family: Bacterial small subunit ribosomal RNA
Source: RNAcentral
ACGAACGCUGGCGGCGUGCUUAACACAUGCAAGUCGAACGGGAGCCCGGAGAUUUGGGAGACUGAAAGGAAGGGCUUUAGUGGCGGACGGGUGAGUAACGCGUGGGCAACCUGCCCUAUACAGGGGGAUAACACCGGGAAACCGGUGCUAAUACCGCAUAACGCCGCGUGAUGGCAUCAUCAUGCGGCCAAAGGAGAAAUCCGGUAUGGGAUGGGCCCGCGUCCGAUUAGCUAGUUGGUAAGGUAAAGGCUUACCAAGGCGACGAUCGGUAGCCGAACUGAGAGGUUGAUCGGCCACAUUGGGACUGAGACACGGCCCAGACUCCUACGGGAGGCAGCAGUGGGGAAUAUUGCACAAUGGGGGGAACCCUGAUGCAGCAACGCCGCGUGAAGGAAGAAGGUUUUCGGAUCGUAAACUUCUUUGACCGGGGACGAUAAUGACGGUACCCGGAAAACAAGCCACGGCUAACUACGU